RNAcentral lists this ribosomal RNA (253 nucleotides) under uncultured bacterium. RNAcentral's name for it is "partial 16S ribosomal RNA". It matches the Rfam family "Bacterial small subunit ribosomal RNA", at positions 524 to 776 of the family's 1533-position model. The record is from RNAcentral.
UACGUAGGGUGCGAGCGUUGUCCGGAAUUAUUGGGCGUAAAGAGCUCGUAGGCGGCUUGUCACGUCGGUUGUGAAAGCCCGGGGCUUAACCCCGGGUCUGCAGUCGAUACGGGCAGGCUAGAGUUCGGUAGGGGAGAUCGGAAUUCCUGGUGUAGCGGUGAAAUGCGCAGAUAUCUGGAGGAAUACCGGUGGCGAAGGCGGCAUCCUGGACCGGCAUUGACGCUGAUGAGCGAAAGCUAGGGGAGCAAACGGG